GGUAUUGAAUAAGAUUUUAAUUGAAUGCUAAGAGAAUGGAAGUCCAGAAAAAAACUUUUUUUAAAUUAAAAAUUGAAGUUUUUUUAAUUUGUGCAGAAACAAUUAUUUAUAUUAAAGACAAGAAGACCCUAUGAAUUUAUUAAAUUUUUAUUUAAUAUGUAAUUACUAUUAGAAAAAUUUUGGCUGGGGCGGCUAGAAAAUAUUAUGAACUUUUUAAAAAUAAAAUGAUCCAUUAUUAAUGAUUUUAUGUUAAAUACUCUAGGGAUAACAGCGUUAUAUUUUUUGAUAGAUCAUAUUGACAAAAAAGUUUGCGACCUCGAUGUUGGAUUAGGAUACUUUUUUAAUGAAGAUAUUAAAAAAAGAAGUUUGUUCAACUUUUAAUUUCCUACUUGAUCUGAGUUCAGACCGGA
This 410-nucleotide ribosomal RNA is filed under the name Rhipicephalus sanguineus (brown dog tick). RNAcentral's name for it is "partial 16S ribosomal RNA". The stretch from base 264 to 410 matches the Rfam family "Bacterial large subunit ribosomal RNA", at positions 2473 to 2620 of the family's 2925-position model. Lineage: Eukaryota; Metazoa; Arthropoda; Arachnida; Ixodida; Ixodidae. The record is from RNAcentral.